CCUACGGGAGGCAGCAGUGAGGAAUAUUGGUCAAUGGGCUAAGGCCUGAACCAGUCAAGUCGCGUGAGGGAAGACGGUCCUAUGGAUUGUAAACCUCUUUUGUCGGGGAGCAACGAGGCCACGUGUGGCCGAAGUGAGAGUACCCGAAGAAAAAGCAUCGGCUAACUCCGUGCCAGCAGCCGCGGUAAUACGGGGGAUGCAAGCGUUAUCCGGAUUUAUUGGGUUUAAAGGGUGCGUAGGCUGUGAGGUAAGUCAGCGGUGAAAUGCCCCCGCUCAACGGGGUGAAGUGCCAUUGAUACUGCCUUGCUGGAAUGCGGAUGCCGUGGGAGGAAUGUGUGGUGUAGCGGUGAAAUGCAUAGAUAUCACACAGAACACCGAUUGCGAAGGCAUCUCACGAAUCCGCGAUUGACGCUGAUGCACGAAAGCGUGGGUAUCAAACAGGAUUAGAUACCCCAGUAGUC
This 461-nucleotide ribosomal RNA is filed under the name uncultured bacterium. RNAcentral describes it as "partial 16S ribosomal RNA". It matches the Rfam family "Bacterial small subunit ribosomal RNA", at positions 338 to 795 of the family's 1533-position model. The record is from RNAcentral.